GGGAGGCAGCAGUGAGGAAUAUUGGUCAAUGGACGAGAGUCUGAACCAGCCAAGUAGCGUGAAGGAUGACUGCCUAUGGGUUGUAAACUUCUUUUAUACGGGAAUAAGUGAGCCACGUGUGGCUUUUUGUAUGUACCGUAUGAAUAAGGAUCGGCUAACUCCGUGCCAGCAGCCGCGGUAAUACGGAGGAUCCGAGCGUUAUCCGGAUUUAUUGGGUUUAAAGGGAGCGUAGGCGGGUUGUUAAGUCAGUUGUGAAAGUUUGCGGCUCAACCGUAAAAUUGCAGUUGAUACUGGCGACCUUGAGUGCAACAGAGGUAGGCGGAAUUCGUGGUGUAGCGGUGAAA
RNAcentral lists this ribosomal RNA (344 nucleotides) under uncultured bacterium. RNAcentral's name for it is "bacterial SSU rRNA". It matches the Rfam family "Bacterial small subunit ribosomal RNA", at positions 343 to 686 of the family's 1533-position model. The record is from RNAcentral.